Molecule: long non-coding RNA, 13604 nt
Filed under: Salvia miltiorrhiza (redroot sage)
Lineage: Eukaryota; Viridiplantae; Streptophyta; Magnoliopsida; Lamiales; Lamiaceae
Description: long non-coding RNA (SMIL_LNC005656)
Source: RNAcentral
UGGUAAAGAAGGAUGAAAUAUAAGAGAACAAAGGUAUUCAAAUAGAUCAUGGCAGAUCUGCCAGAAACAUCAUUAUGAAUUACUAAAGCAAAAUGAUAGGAACAAAGGUCUAGUUGAUAUUCCCAGAACAAAACAGGUGGAUAUGAACGCACUGCUUACCUCUCAAGUGAAAGACCCCAUGCCAUCACCUGCACAUCUUCCGGAAGUCCCAUUGGCCGCAACAUUUCUGGUCUAAACGUACCCGAGUUUCCGAUUUCAACCCAUUUCUUAAGACCUUCAUGAUAGCUGACAGAAAAACAGUUUAUUAGCUUGCAUUCAAUGGUAAAGCCACAGCCAUGAUAGAGGACUUCUUUUAAUCAUCACCUGAAGAUUUCCAUGCUCGGUUCAGUAUAAGGAUUGUAGGCAGGCUUGAACUUAAGCUUAGACAUCCCUAAAAAUGAAAGUAUUUAACUUCCAACUUCGACAUGAGUCACCAUAUCAAUAUAGUCCAAAUUUUAAAAGGAUCAAGUGUGCAUGACCAACUAACCCAUCAAAACAUUUGCAUGCCAAAACACAGUAUAUGGAGGUUGUGUCAAUACAAUAUUGGCACCAAAAUGCCAAACAUGAUUAAUAUAUGAGGUCGCCAUAUAACAUCACAUCAACAGAAAUGAAAAUUAUCAAGUUUCCGGUGCAAGAUUUGAUAUCAAUGCUCUCACCUCUCCACCAUUUGACCCCCAGAUUCUUGGGCAACGAGUCAUGGCCAUUUUUUGUGGAUCCUGCCGUUUUCUUGCUAGCCCAUCGCCUCAACACCAAACUCAGUCCCUCUCCGGAUAAUCUAUAAUCUCAAAAUAUGUACAUUAUGAUUUAUGUUCCAAGACAAUUGCAACUCCACUAGUUUUGCAUAAAAAAGGGGAUAAAGUUCAUACCAGUAGCUGAACUGUAAACAGGUAUGUUAGAGAUCAGAUCCCUAAUACUUAAUCUUCUGCACAGAGAUGCAACGGAAUUCAUGAUGUUUGCUUAAUCGCAGCAGUAGAUAAAUCUGAUUCAGGAUAACAUGAUGAUCAAUGUCAAUAAUUCUGAAUUAAAAAUUAUCACACCAAUUUUAGCAGUUAACAGAAUCAGAAAGCUGAAAAUCGAAAUACAAAGAGUAUAAAGCUGAAGAAUACAGCCGAUGCCGGUAACCUAAAAAAUUAUGGUGCUAAAGUUCAAAUUUGCAGAAAUAUCGCAUAAAUUUGGGGGCGUGGGAUGUCAAUCUCCAUUCCUAAUUCUGAGAAACUCCAAUGUGAAAAAAGAGGGUGACAAUUGUCUUUGAAAUAAGUGGUUCAGACAUUUCAUCAAACACCUUAUACGAAAGCACAGCAUAAGGCAGCAUAAAGCGAGACGCUUCACACUCCUGGAAAAUUUAUAGUCCACCGGAAUUCCACCGGCGGCGAGAUGAAGAAGAAGACUGACUGCGUGCGAGCGUGUGUCUCAGUGAGAGAGAGAGAGAGAGAGAGAGAGAGAGAGAGAGAGACAACCUGCGACCCGCCCCAGUGAAGAUAGGCGGCCCAGUUUGUAGAAAGCGGUCUUUAUAUGCGGUCAAUGAACCGGGCCGGGUCUGUUUGGAAUAAUUUAAAGAUGCACGAAAACGAGAACAAAUUAUUCCCUCAAUAAAAGAAAAAAAGAAAGGUAAUUAAUCAAAUCUUUAUUAUUAUUAGUAAUAAAAUAGUAAUAGUAGUGAUAGAAAAAGUAGUAGUAGUAGUAUUCAAUUCUAUUUUUUUAUAUAAUAAUUUAAUGUUAUAGCGUAUGAAAGGUCUACGUAAAUAUACGAUGAAAGAUUCCAUAUAUCAAUUCAUCAAACAUUUGUAUAUUAACAUAUCAUUAGUCGGAUAUUUCCGAAAAUACCAUUAGUCGGAAGAGUUUUAAAACAAGGUGUUGCCUUAAAUUGCAUUUAAUGUAAAUUUACAUUUUUCUAAUAAAGGACAAUUUAUAUAGAGUGUACAUGUACUUUAGAUGAUUAGUUUUGAUACAUAAAAAUAAUAAGAAUAACUCAUUAUUUAUUUUGAUGGAUUAAAAUUUGGGAUAUUCCAAAAUUCUUAAUUAUUUAUAUUAUUUGAGUUAAUUUUGCUUUAUUCAUAUCUCACUGAAAAAAUGAAAAAAAAAAUAAAAAAUUCUACUCUUAAAAAUAAAAAUAUUCAAUUAUACAAUGCAUUUUAUUAAUCAUGUAAAAUAAACGUCUUCCUAGUAUUUAGUGAUGUCUUAAACCUAUUGGAAUUGAUCCGUAUAAGAAAAGAAAAAAAAUAAUUCAAAAUAGACAUCAUUCACAAUAUUCAAAAAAUAUCAGGACGCGAAUUUUUCAAGAUUUGACAAUUUGUUUAUUGAGAAAUAUUGCCAUAGAGGAAAAAAGAAUUAUAUCGAAUAUUUUUGGACGUGGUACAAAUCUAUAGUGAAAUUAUCAUUGUAACAUUUUAUAAUUCAUGCCUAGUAUAUAUCAAAAUUAAAUCGAAGUAGCGAUUACUUUUAUAAUUUACCAAGUGACCCUAUUAAGUAUUAACACACCAUAAUCUACAUAUUUGAUUAUGUUUAUGUCACUAAUAAUCCCUGCAUAUAAAAGAAUAUCAUUAAUCGUUACUAGCUUAGAGUGUUGAUAUGAGGUGUGCGUGAGUGAGAAUAUAUGCAAAUAAAUAAAUAAACAUAAUUAAUUAAAAUGAUAUUGAGUAUUUCACCAGCUUCAAGCAAUUUAAAAAUGGUGUUUUCCAUUAGGCAUUUGCGAUUCAUGAAAUCUGAGAAUUAUCUGUGACUCGACUGCGUUAAAUGUUUCGUAUAAAUCCUUUUUUUUUUGUGUGUGUUUAUGAAUAUUGUAAGGAUAUUUCUGUCAUUGAAUUUUCAGCUUAACUGUUUAAUCUUUUCAGUUUUCCAAGCAUCUCAUUGAGUUUCCAAGGUAUAUAUGCUUAUGCAUCAUCUCACACACACACUAACACUGAGGAUGAGUUUCAAUUGCUGAUUAUUGAGGGUACAACAGGUUUUUCAGAUAUUAGCUUGAAGAGCGAAUAAUCCCUAGGCACUGGUGGAAAACCGGGUUAAUUUCAAGCUGCGGUACAUGUUGGGAGGCUCGGAUGAAGAGUUUCAGACGAGAGUGAGGGAGGCGGUGGAGAGACGAAGGCGAUUUGAAUCUGGUGCUGUUAUAGGUGAAGAAGAAGCAUCAGAUUCUGAAUAUGAUGAUCAACCAGAUAUGAUGUCUGUUUCUCAAGUACCAAAUGACUUGGAAAAUGAUUCAGAGCAUUAUUAGCAAACAGAAUUUCUUCAUUUGUUUUUGUACAUUAUGGUUAGUUACUAGUUCAAUAGCAACAUGUAUAACACUACCAAAUUUUCCUUGUACAUAAUAACAUAAUUAAUGAAAUUGAAUUAUGCUUAUAAAAUUUUUCCCUUGAUAUAGUUAUGGAACCCACAAUGAAGUGAGACAGCAUUGAAACAUGAUAACAAACAAAAGAUGAAUCUCACUAUUGAAAAAUGUAUUAUUUCGACUGAGACAAUACUAACACCCUAUUAAGCAUAACUCAAACUGGAUGGGCUCAACAUGAAUCCAGUUAGCUUGUUGCUCUCAAACUUGACGCAUCCUUCCUUCAAGGCGUAGAGUCGACCCAUGCCAACGUAGUUCCCUUUGACGAAAAAUGAUGUUUCUGGGAAUCUUUCUCUGCAACAUUCGCCUUACAAAGUAAUAUGAUUAUCAAUCUCAUCAAUUCUGAAUUCAAAAAAUGUCAUGCCGAUUUUAGCAGUUAAUUAAAAUCGAAAUACAAAACGUAUAAAGCUGAUCGAAUUCAGUAACCUAAAAAAUUAUGGCGCUGUUGGAAAUCACGAAUAAGGCAGCAUAAAACGAGACGCUUAACACUCCUGGAAAUUUUCUAUUUCAACGGAAUUCCCCCGGCGGCGAGGCGAGCCGAAUAAGACGACUGAUUGAGUGAAUUGGAUUAUAUACAGAAAAGGAUUAUAUACAAAAAAGCAUAGUAAACAUAAGAAAACUAAGGGUCUGUCUCACCCGACUAAUAACAUAAUAUAAUAUAUAUAUAGGGCCACGCUCCAGCAAGAUCACAUAUUUUUCGUGUAACAUGAUUACAGUGAAUAAGACAUAUAAUACUCACUUCGUCCAUGAUUUAAUGCCCCACUUUGGUGUUGGCACAUAAUACUAUACCCUAUAUAGUAUGAUUAGUAUCUAUUGAGAAUUGUCAUUUAUGUAAGAAUUAAGAAUUAAUAUCCACCUUAGAUAUACCCCAAAUCAACGACUAUGAUUAAACAUUUUGAUGAAUUUCUCUCACCCAUGAAUAACUAUAAAUUGGCCGAAAAUUAUGUAAAUGAGCACUAAUGUAAUUAGCACAUUUUCGGUCAACCCCCUAAUCCCUACAUUUAAGGCAUAUUGUUUACUUUUAUUUUUUUGGAGAAUCAAUAUAUAGCUUUUUUAAUCUUUUCAAAUAGCAUUCUUGGUUUAUCGUAAUCUAAAAUAAAAUUCUAUUUUGCAAAAUUGAGAGUUGUUGAACAUAUAAAUAAUUUUGAUGAAUGAGUCAAUAAUUUUAAUGAACAUACGUAUUAAAUUUUGAUGAACUUUUCAAAAUUAUUGAUUUGAUCAUCAAAAUUAUAUAUCUGUUCAAAAUUUAUUUUGAUGAAUUUUUGCUGAACAUACGUAUUUAAUUUUGAUGAACUUUUGCUGAACAUACGUAUUUAAUUUUGAUGAACUAUUCGUACAUAAUUUUAAUAGAUUUCUGCAGACUUUUAAAAUCUGGGUGUAUUCGUUUAAGACUUUUAAAAGUCUAUGAAAAUCUAGAGGUAUUCGUUCAAGACUUUUAAAAUUCUAUAAAAAUCCACAGGUAUUCGUUUCAGACUUUUAAAAAUCUAUGGAAAUCUAGAGGUAUUUAAAAAUCUAUGGAUUUUAAAAUUUGACUGAUUUUCAUGGAUUUCAUUCAAAAAAUACACAUGAACAAAUCCGACCUCUGACCACGAGAAUUCGAAAGAUUUCAUAUUUCAGCGCGGGCUGGGUUCCAGCGGCUGUGGCUCGAAGAAGCUAGCGGCCGCUGGGUCCUAGCGGUCGUUGGGGGUGAGCGGUGGGAAGCCAGCGGUCGCUGCCCUUCAUAUUUGCUACCCUUCUGAUCACAGUACUUUUGAUAUGCUUGCGGAAUAUCUUUGAUGCUGCAUUGACACCCAAUAAGCACACGUCUACAGAAUAUCAAUCAGGUAAUGGAAGUCUUCUUGUUUUGAUCAUUUUAAUUAUUGCGUAAUGCAUUCAGCACGAAUGAUAUGCUCCAUGCAAUCCUCAGUCUUCUUUCUGGUUGCCUUACUCAGUUUCCAUAUGCUGCAGAUAUCCAGUACCCGUAUAUCAAACAGGCGAGUCGAAUGCUGGGCAACAUCCACGCUCCACCAGCAUAUGCUGCAGAUCAGAAGUGUUUACAAGUUCUAUGAUCAAAUUGUUGGCACUCGCACAAAGCCAGCGGUCGUUGGAACCCAACGAUCGCUGGGAGCUGUCUCAACGCUCAAUUAACUCCAACGAGCGUUGGGAUGGUAGAUUUCAAAUCCGUAAAAAUCAAGUCAAUUCUGUUAAAUCAGUUCAAAUUGUACAGAUUCUGUUUAGAAUUCCAAAAUACAUGAAGAAUCUGUGUGAAAUCUGUAGAUUUUUAAAAUUCAGAGAUUUUAAAAAUCUACAGAAUUCCUGAACGAAUACACCCCCUUAAUUUUGAUAAAGUUUUGUUGAACAUGCAUAUUUAAUUUUGAUGAACUUUUAUUGAACAUACGUAUUUAAUUUUGAUGAACAUACGUAUUUACUUUUGAUGAACAUACAAAAUUAUUGUAUUUGUUCAUCAAAAUUAUUUAUCCGUUCAAUAAUUAUAAUUUCGCGACAUAUUUGCCAAUAAAUUACAUUCGACAAAUUGUAAAAAUUGUUCAUCACAGUUAAUGAACAAACGUAUUCAUAUGACUUAGACACACUAGCAAGCAGGCUUGCUUUGAUUUGACAUACUAAUUAUACUAUAUAUAUAACUGCAUCACUAAUUGCAUUGAUCAAAUACAGUGGCUAGUACAGUAAGCAUAUAUUCCCUCCGUCCCGUUAUUGUUGGCCACAUUCUUUUCGGCACGGAGAUUAAGAAAUUGAGUGUUAUGUUUUAAUUGAGUGUGGCCCACCAAAACUAGUGAGUAAUUUUGGUCUUUUUAGAAAGUGGCCAACAAUUGUUGACUUAAUUAGUGAGUAAUUGUUGACUUAAUUAAAGUAAACUUUGCCAUUUUUAGAAAGUGGCCAACAAUAGUGGGACAAACCAAAAAGAAAAUGUGGCCAACAAUAUUGAGACGGAGGGAGUAUAUAAUAAUAAUAAUCUAGCUCCUGCAUUUAGUUGACAUUGUUGGCAUCCGAAGGAGUGGCGGGAUGUGCGGGACGAAGAAGUUAAUCACAUCACUGCGGAGCAACUAGGUGGCCCUCUCAAUCGAUGCAGCAAAUUUCCCUUUCUGCUCAAGCUUGGACAGAAGCUUCUUUCUUUUAUCCUCCAAACAAGUCCAUGCAAUCGAGAAGAGAUGCGUGAGAAACGUGGACUCCAAGAUCACGAGGAAGGCCGUAAUUGCCAUUACGUUUUCCCCCGAGGUGGCCUUUGACAAUUGAUAGUUAUAUACCACUCCAAUAGCAAUUGGAGUGACCAGCAGUCAUAUGGCCAGCCAACGAAAAUGACGCCUUUUUUGCUCGCGCACCAUCUCAAUUUCCUCGUGUACCUUCUUCAGCAUUUGGUUGGCUUUCUCGUUCAACUCAUUCAGCUUGGAGAUUAGUGUACCCAUCUGGUGGUCAUACCCCAAGUGAUCUAGGAUGCUCAACCCCAUCACAGACUUGAUCCUCUAUAUCGAGAGGAUAGCUUCUCCACCCAGCACCGCACAACUCCCGUCGCUGCUUCUGUCACGGUCCCUCACCCAGCACAUCAACUCCACCGCCCUCUCGAUCCCCGAGGACACAUACCGCAGCUUGUCCUCGAGAGUCUCGAAGGCUGGCGGAUGUGGGAUGGAGGCGGCGAAGCGGAUACGCAAGUCGUAGUCUGCCGAAAUUGAGCUAGCCACUGCCUCAAAAUAUACUCUAUCCAUCUCAGUUAAAUAAAUUUAUUUUUCUUUUCCAAAUGCCUCAAAAUAUAGGUCAUUUUUCAUAAAAGAUAAUGCAUUAUUAAAUUAUUUACAAAUAUAUACAUUUAUUUAAUUCUUUGAUUAAUUCUAGCAUUAAUGUACUGUCAAAUAAUAAAUAUGGGCAUAUUAGGAAGCUACUUGUAUAAUUUUCUUUUCCAAUGAUUUUCUUAAUUCUUGUGCAAAAUUCAAUCUACCUAUAUAUAACUGGGACUAAUGAAGUUUUUUAAAAAAAUCGUGUUGUAUAAUAUGCAUCAAAGAAUAAAAGUUCUAGAAAAUCUUUUUUGCUAAUAUGCAUAAAAAAAUUAGAAAAUCUUUCUUGCAUAGUAGAAAUCUAAAAUAAAAAAAUACUAUAUGAAUAUUUUGAUGGAUAUUUUAACUGGCUAAUAAUACUCGUUGAUAAAAAUAAAUUAAGAUAUUGGUCAUUGAUUUGACUCACAUACAACUAUAAAAAGUCACCUUUAUAUUGUCGUUGAAAAUGAUGCCCAGCUCGGCCCUAUCGGGCCGGUCGAGUCAAAACAUGCCAAAGUUGAACAAAAUUAAUAUACAUCACAAAUUCUCAAUUUUAUAAAACAUAUCAACAACAUAUAAAUACACAACCAUACACAAUCACUACAAAAAUAUCAUAAUUCAACUUAUAUCAAACAUUUAACAAGUAAGUAAUAACUCACAACAACAAAUCUUUACUUCAUUAUAGAACAAAAUGACGGGCCAACUCGAAAGCCCGACGGGCUUUUUUGGCCCAUGGCCCAAUUUGGCCUGCCGAACUGCGCGGGCCGGGCUAGGUAGGGCCGGUAUUUUUUGGGCCUUUAAAACUUAUUUCUUCCAUCUUCCAAACAAGUCCAUACAACACCGAAGAAUUGUGUGAAAAAUAUUGAUGUCAAUAUCAUCACUUGUUCCCCAAAUAUAUUAUCAUUCCAAUUGCAAUUGGAGUGAAUAGCAAUCCUUCAGCGAGCCAACGAAAAUAACGCAUUUUUUUUUGCUUGCGAACAAUCUCAGUUUGGUCAUGUACCUUCUUCAUCAUAUGUUUGGCAGUCACAUUCGCAUCAUAUUGGGUAUCUUCGCCUAGUCGGAGGUUCACCGCUUGUUUCCCGAACCGUCCUGCCGCCUCCACAAGUGCUCAAGCACUUUAGAUCCCUCGAAUUUGUCCUUCUCAUUCUUCCACUUCAAUUGUACUUGUAAAACCAGAGACAGAGCAAGUAAAAAAUGAACGAGAAAGGAAACAAAAGGAAUAAGAAAAUGAAAACUGGAGUGGGAAAAAGGUGUCCUCGGGACACAGGUGGCUCAGAUUUUUCCCACGGUGGCAACACACUCCGGCAGCUCAAAGACCAAGGCACAAAGGGACGGGAAAGGUAGAUCGGAGCUCAGAUCUGACAGGUUCAGCCACCAAGAGUCAGGAAUCCGGUGGUCAGGAGAUCAUCAGCGUUAUCACCAAACAGGAAACCUAAGGUCAGAAAUCCGGUGACAAUGCUAUCAACAGGAUUGAAGCUCUAACUCUACGGUCACAGCUCCGGAGAACGGAUCGAAAACCAGAGGACAGAAGGAAUAGCAGAGCCUUCAAAGUGAUGAUCGUCACCUAGAACUUCUCCCAGUCGAUAGCUUUAAAGCCGACAACUUCUCCGCCGAGCACCGUGCAACUCCCGCCGCUACUUUUGUCGCGGUCUCUGACCCAACACAUCAACUCCACCGCUUUAUCAAUCCUCAAUGAGACAUACCACAACUUGUCCUCGAGACUCGCGGAUGUGGGAUGACUCUCUCCGCUACUUUUGUCGCGCUCUCUGACCCAACACAUCAACUCCACCGCUCUAUCAAUCUUCGAUUAGACAUACCAUAACUUGUCUUCAAGACUCUCGAAGACUCGCGCAUGUGGGAUGACUCCUGCCGCUACUUUUGUCGCGGUCUCUGACCCAACACAUCAACUCCACCGCUCUAUCAAUCCCCGAUGAGAUAUACCGCAACUUGUCCUCGAGAUUCUCGAAGACUCGCAGAUGUGGGAUGGAGAAGGCAAAACGAAUUUGCAUGUUGUAGUCUUCAGAAAUUGAGCUAGCCGUUGUCUUAAGCUAAUUUUCAAAUAAAAUUUUGAUGCAUUAGAUAAUUGGUUAUGGCUAAUUUUCAAAUAAAAUGUGUUUAUCAGGAAAAUUUCAUAUAGUCCAUUUAAAUAAAUAUUCGCGGCUCAAAAGUAGUGGUGGGCCAUGAUGGGUUUUUUGUGAAUAAAUAUAAAAAGAGGGAUAAAAAGUAAGGGGGUAAUGUACAAAAAAUGAAAUGUUCAUGUUUUUGUGAGACACUCCAAAAUGAAAAAAUGUUCAUGUUUUUGUAAGACGGAUGAAGUAGUUUAUUGUAUUAAUUUAUAAAAUGUGACAAAAAAAAAUUAGAAAUAUGCACGUACAAAAUGUGUGCAUAUUUNGUUCUUUUUUUUUUUUUUUUGUAGGGAUGAGAGCGGUUGGGAUCACUAAAUAAAGUAUUAUAGUUUUUUCGUAUUAAUUUAUCAAAUGAAACAAUUUUUUUUAAAAAAAUAUGGACAUGCAAAGUGUGUUGAUAACACUCAUAUUUUCAUGGUUUUAAUGUUCAUAUGAUAUUAAUUUUAUAAGAAAUUAAGUGUUUGAUGAUUAUUUUGUGCUUAAAUUGCUUUAUCUUGUGAAAUAUGAUACUUGCUCGCAGAAAUAUGGAGUUCAAAUUUGGACUACUAGUUUUAAUGAAAGUUGUAGAUCAUUGCGAUACGAAUUCUUAGACGCAAACGGUUCGCAAAUCCGAGUUCGGACGAGGAAGAUAUGGCCGAAACAAGAAAGUUGCGCGCAGUAGUGAAUAGUGCCCGACGGAAAUUUUUGAAUUUUCGGGAUUUUGCGCGAUUUUGGGAUUUUCUCAGUAUUUUCGAGUUCUACACUGUAUUUAUCUCUUGUGCCUAUAUAUAGGUCCAUUCCUGACCUAUUAGACAUAUCUCUUUACCUCUCUUCACCUCUUUUCUUUUUAUUUUUAUUUUUAGACUUAGAAUUUUAAUGCUUUCAUAGAUUGGAUUUCUUUUCCUGCAAGAUUCAAGAUUCAAGAUUUCAGGUGUUCAUCUUAAAUUCUUUCUGGCUUUUAUCUAUUUUAUUUAUUUCAAUUGCUUUCUUUUAUUUAUACUUUUAUUUUAUUUUAUGAUGUCUAGCUAGCUCUUUAUCUGAUUCUAGGGUUUGUAAAUAGUUAAUUAAAUUCAUGUGAUUUAUUUGUUAAUAUCUAUUUGUCUUCCAGUUUAUGAUUCAUAAUUCAUAGUGCUUGAUUUUUUGUGGAUUAUUUGACUAAUAAUUUGCAUGUGUAGUUAUUUGGUUUGAGACCUAGCAGAGAUAACUGUUUAGCGGAUUCAUGAAUGUAUGAUAUGAUUUUAACCUUGAGACAUAGCGGAGAUAGGUGGAUCAUAAAGAGCUAUUCUUAUGUGCUUUUGGGAGUUAGUAGAUUUUCUUGAGAUCUAGCGGAGAUAGAGAAUUUAGUAAUCUACAAUCGUUGUUGCUCUAGCGAGAGUAAUUGAUUAAUUGAGUGAUCUCUCAUCAUAAUUGGAUUAAACUAGUUAAUAGGAUUAAUAGGUUUGAUUAUGUGGAUUUGAUUAAUGAAUUUACUUUCCUAGAAUCAGUCGUUUUAUUAUCUGAUUUUAUACCUGUGUUUUAUUUGCUUUGUUUCAAAGUUUAGUUUUAAUUAAUUUUUUGAUCUGUUUGCUUUGCCUGAAUAUUGCUAGAGAAUUAUUAGAAUUACUUAGAGUAUUUUCGUUUUUCAAUCCCUAUGGAUACGAUAUUCGAUUGUUGUUUAUACUACGAUUACACCGUGUUAGUUGCAGUAUUUUAUUGCUAAUAAAUUAGUGAUCAUGCGUGCAUAUUUNUCUUUUUUUUUUUGUCAUAUUUUUUUGCAUCUGAAAAAUUCGUGCAAAAUUGACCCCAAGGUUUAAGGAAAUAAAUGAAAGUUUACAACAUAAAUUUAAGAGUCAAUUACCGUUUCCCGUUCAGGCAGAUCGGCGGAGGCACCGAGUCAUGGAGAAAAAGCCGAGUUCGACCUCGCUUUUCUUCAAGAGACUGAACAAGAAGGGGAGCGAGAGCAGCUUCGGCGGCGACAGUGGCAGUGGAAGUUGACGAGCUCCAUCGGCUUGCGGUGGAAGAAGAGCUUCGAGGUUGUGUGUUUGGUCUCCGCGCUCUGCUUCUUCUUCCUCUAUUUGUGUCAGUAUGUUUAGGUAGCAAAUAUGGGAAGUUCAUUUUUGGAUUGAUCACUUUACAAACACAACAAAUAUAAGUCACCUAAACAUACAGACACACACAUGAGGAUAGACGAAUUUGAGUAGUGACAUCAAUUCAAAAUAAUCUGCAUAAGAUAUGUCAAUUAUCAAACCAUCACAAUAACAAAAUGAACAACAAUAUUUAUAACUAAGCAUCUCACUGUAGGCCUUGGUUUUACUUCCGUUAAUUGAAUCGCCUUAUUUGAAGGUGUCUUGCAAAGCUCUUCUUCCACGACAAAUCUGUAAACAUUAACGACGGCAGCACCAACGAAACAAUUCAUCCGCUAAGAUGGAAUUUUCACAGGCACCUUAUCCUGGCUCGCUCCGACAAAAAAGUUUUUUCUUAACCAUCAGACAAUAAGCUCAAACUUGCAUUGAUUACCAUGGUCGACCCCACCCGGCCAUGUCUUGGAUGCAGUUAGACUCAUAGGAGAAUUUUAUUGAGGAGCUUUUGAUAUGUUACAGUUAUGAGUUUGUUGACAAUAUCUACUAAGCAAACCGAGUCCUUGGAAGAAUAUAUACACUAUUUGAGGGAUAUGUUUUGCAGCAUCCAUAAUUUUUUGAUGCUUAGUACUCCCUUCGUCCCACUAUUGUUGUCCUAUAACUUUUGGGCACAAAAAAUAUAAAGUGGUUAAAAGUGGUAGGACCCACAACUUUUGAAGAGUUAAUUGUUGUAUUUUAUGAAAAUGAGACAAUAAUAAUUGGACAACCUAAAAUGAUAAGUGAGACAAAUAGUAGAACAUAGAGAGUAUUUGGGUUUGGUGAUGUGCAGGUUGAACCCACCUUAUCUGAUACACAGUUAUCGAAUUGAUCCACCAUACUUGCCGGAAAAAAAAUAUUAUUACAACGUCAGGUUGUGGAACAUGAUGGGUGCCAAGUAGAGUAUGUUUUGGUGAAAUGGAAUGGGAUAAAUUCCAAGGAAGCAACUUGGGUGGGUGUGACUGACAUGCCAGGCCAAUUUCCAUAUGGGAGGGCAAUUAAUAGAGAUCAACAUCCUUAUCUGGUGUAUGCACAAAGGAAAAGAUCUCUCGUAGCUUAAUCAAUUGUUACUAGUUUAUCAUAUUUCAUUUUUAUUGUUAUUUCUUUGUGUAUAAAUUUGUUAUUUUUAGAGGCUAGUAUAAAUAGGGUUUUACAUUAAGGUUUGAAGAUUAUUCAAGUUAUCAUAUAAUAAGAACAGCAUCUCGCUGAAUUUUACUUCAAUUAAUUGAAUCACCUUAUUUCUAUCAUUGUGGCUUCAAAUAUUUGACAGGAUGCAAAUAAACAUAGCAUCAAUCACCAAUUUCCGAAAAAGAAGAAACACGACAAAAAUAUGAAAAUUAGAAUAUGGAAUUAUCACUUUACAAACACAACAAAUAUAGGAUCAGUUGAGUAGUGAAGGUAAUUCAAUUCUUUCUUCUUCUUUUUUUCACAUAACUAUGCAUUUGAUCAAGAAUCUAAUCUGGGUAAGGACUUGAGUAGUGGAGUUAAUUCAAUUCUUUUUUUUUUUUUUGUAAACUAUAACCAUGCAUUUGAUCAAAAAUCUAAUCUGGGUAAGAUACGUCAAACCAUCAAAAUAACAAAAUCAACAACAAUAUUUUAAACAAUUUGCUGUUGAUGAAAGACAAGUGUGUUCUAAUCUGGCAGUGAGCGUCUUUCAACUAAGUCCAAGGCGACAUAUCGGGUUUCUUUUAGUGAGAGACAGAUCCACCUGCAAAACCGUAGCAAGAAAUCAAAUCAUGCAACCAAGUAAAGAUUAAGAGUGAUAGAAAUUAACCACUUUUGGGACUUGCAACAUUAGAACUUUAUUAAAUAUAGGUCGAAGUAAACAAAAUGUGCGAUAUGAAUACAAAGGGAUCUCAUCAAAAGAAGUAAAAAUGCAUGAUUGAUAUAAUAACUUACUAAACCCAACACCUUAUUAAGCUUGAAAGUAAGCAAUGCGAUAAAGCAGAACAUCUUACCUUGUGGCCGAAGAGAUCUCUGAUGUUGUCAAUCCCGUAAAGAAUCAUCGUGGGCCUGGUAAAGAAAGAUGAAAUAUAAGAGAACAAAGGUAUUCAAAUAGAUCGUGGCAGAGCCACCAGAAAUAUCAUUAUAUGAAUUACUAAACCAAAAUGAUAGGAACAAAGGUCUAGUUGAUAUUCCCAGACCAAAACAGGUGGAGAUGAAAGCACUGCUUACCUCUCAAGUGAAAGACCCCAUGCUAUCACCUGCACAUCUUCCGGAAGUCCCAUUGGCCGCAACAUUUCAGGUCUAAACAUACCCGAGUUGCCAAUUUCAACCCAUUUCUUCAGACCUUCGUGAUAACUGA